UACACUCCUACGGGAGGCAGCAGUGGGGAAUAUUGCACAAUGGGCGCAAGCCUGAUGCAGCCAUGCCGCGUGUAUGAAGAAGGCCUUCGGGUUGUAAAGUACUUUCAGCGGGGAGGAAGGCAAUACGGUUAAUAACCGUGUUGAUUGACGUUACCCGCAGAAGAAGCACCGGCUAACUCCGUGCCAGCAGCCGCGGUAAUACGGAGGGUGCAAGCGUUAAUCGGAAUUACUGGGCGUAAAGCGCACGCAGGCGGUCUGUCAAGUCGGAUGUGAAAUCCCCGGGCUCAACCUGGGAACUGCAUUCGAAACUGGCAGGCUUGAGUCUUGUAGAGGGGGGUAGAAUUCCAGGUGUAGCGGUGAAAUGCGUAGAGAUCUGGAGGAAUACCGGUGGCGAAGGCGGCCCCCUGGACAAAGACUGACGCUCAGGUGCGAAAGCGUGGGGAGCAAACAGGAUUAGAUACCCCAGUAGUCC
RNAcentral lists this ribosomal RNA (472 nucleotides) under uncultured organism. RNAcentral's name for it is "partial 16S ribosomal RNA". It matches the Rfam family "Bacterial small subunit ribosomal RNA", at positions 332 to 796 of the family's 1533-position model. The record is from RNAcentral.